GUCGCCUACUCCAGUUUCCCGGACCUUAGAGGGUGCCUUAGAGCUCGUGGUCAUAGAGGGGUAGGAGGGGACGGGGAGAGAGUGACGGCCGACCCCGGCCGGUCGGCCUAUCGGGUCAGAGCAGACGGUGAGACGGAGGAGAUGCGGGCCUUGUCGCCCACCCGGGACCAUAAGCUUGGCCUAUUCCUGUGCACCCGGGGCGCGGUGCGCAGCCACCGGGUGCCCGGCGGAGGGGAGGGCGCGGCGUCUCCUAGGCAGGCCGGCCGGAGGAAAAGGCGGUAAGGACCCAAGCCUGGCCGAGCCGAGGAGCAGCGGCCGGCCGCACGCACGCAGCAGCGCCUCCUGUCUGUGUGGUCGUCCCCGUUUCAUGCCCUGACGGGGAGCGCUCGUUGAUAUUUAUCGGCCGGCCGCGGCGGGAGAUCUUCUAAGAGCGGCCGGCGUUGGCGUUGGCGGUUCUCUCGGCGGGGAGCCUAAGGGGGGCGGGCGGUGGGGUGGAGUUAGGUUGGGUGACGGCAUGCAUCGGCAGGGGUUGAGUGGUAGGUGGGGGGUGGCCCUCAGCGGUCGAGGGUGUGGGUAUUUCCCGCGGCGCUACCGGCGGCGCAUCCGGGGGCGCGCGCCCGCCCGCCCGCCUACCGGCUGCCGUCGCUGCCCCUCCCGCGCCCGCUCUCGACGACCGGCGGGGGGCGGCGGCGGCGGAGUCGGGUGCCGCCGCCGCCGCCGCCCCACGUCGACAGGCUGCAGGCCGCCCUCUAGAUGCUGGCGGACGCGCGGCAGCCGUUGGUGCUCCGCGAGAGGCUGGGGAAGAAGCUGGCGCACGAGCUCCUGGUGAUGCUGGCGGAGGGCCGGUCGAUGAUGUAGCUGGACCUGCACUUGUUCCGGCUCCUGCACGACGACGUGGCGGCCUAGGAGCGGCUCACGCGGCUGGGGCUGUUGGCGGGGCAGAAGGUGCGUGCGAAGGAUGCCAUGGAAGUACUGCUGUUUGGCAGCCUACGGCUGAGACGAGGCUUAGUUUUGCCAUUAACACCCCCGAGAGACCGAAGGUUAGACUCGUUGUCGUUGUCGUUGCCGCCCAAUUUUCCUAAACUGCUCGCCGAGUACCUUCUGGAGUCGAACCCCGCUUCUUUUCCGUAGCUGCUGAAGCUCCGGUAGAGGCGUUCCUCCCUAUGUCUUUAAGGGGAAGAAGUACUUUAAUAGAAAAGAAGGUUACUGUUCGGUUUCGAGGAAUCAGUCGAUAGAUGCGACGACAGCCUAGAACCUAACUUGUAAGCACUUCGAGUACACAAGAGGUGUUGCCUACCUAACACAAACCUACACAAACAACAACUACCGACCCUUUGUCUCCUCUGUCUACCAAACGACGUCGUCGAAUUCCUCUGUCGUUUUGCAUUAGGGAGUAAUAGCUUAGAUUGUUCAAGUCGGAGCCUCUCUUAUAGUCUCGACGUUCUUUUCUAACCUCUUAGACUUAAACUGUCCCUAGACAACGUCUAACAUCUUUUCUAACGCAGGCCUAGAAGACCUCUGAAUAUAGCUCCUUGAAUGGAACUACACCUACAACGUUAUUUUAAGGAAUCUUGACUUGUACAAUUGCUAUUAAGUUUUCACCUCAAAAACGUUCUUUAUUACUAAAAUUCCUCGCAAUUAGUACUUUUACAGCAAGCGAAAAUGCCCCGAACGUGUUUUGUCGCUUUCAUAGAGUAACAUUGCCUCAUGUACCGACCUCCGUUAGACAUACUGAAGGAAGUGUUCGUAUUGUUAUGGAACCUCGAAAGGAACUAAGAAUUCUAACGAUAACCGUAGAGCUUUCCCUACCUAAUAAACGUGGUCUUAUUGUAGUAGGUAUCUCUGAACUUCAGACGGUUAAAUAAUUAACCACUACCAGUUCAGCACUUCUAACGUCUAAAACCACAGAGAGCAGUUGCUAGCGUUGUCCCUCUAUACUGACGACUUUGACCGUGGAUGUCUACCUACCGUGGACUCCACUAUUUGGUAUUCGGAAUACUAGUGUUCCGUCUACAGAAGUCGAAACGAUAACAAGAUACCCUCAACCAGUGAAGUUUCCAGGGCAUACUCUUGGACUGUGGUAACGUUCGCCGUGACAGUCACUCCGUCCCUGAAGCGAACCACUAAGGGAGCCCGCACGUAGGCUCUUAUAGAUUUAACUAAGUUGCCACGACCCCGCUUUUGGGGGUAUGUGCUGGACAAAAGAGACUCUAGUGGCGCCUUGAACUUCUAUAGAACGUCGGAUAAGUCCGGCGGAGGUCGAGGUUUCCUCCGGUAGCUGUAUGGUUUGUUUUCUAUGUCUACUUUAGUGUCGCUAUCUUUCUUCCGCGGACGAGUACUUCGGCCUGGGUGAAAAAGUGUAACAGCGGGUGAUUUUUCGCGCUGUACGUGUGUGGCAGAGGACAUAUAUACAGUACAUGUAUUUAAAACACGAGCCAACAAAACUAAGGGGGGAUUUCAUGAGUGUCCUGCUUGACCCAAUUCAAUCGUGUGGGCACGAUGUAUUGGACUCACUAUAUCAAAAUACAAACUACACCAAUAAACAAAACGCUCACCGAAUAUCAAGCCACACAAACUUAAAACCAAGUACAUGCUAAUACUCAAGCAGAACAUUCCUUGUACUCUACUUUUACGGUGAUAGUGUACAAGGUAAAACCAAUAAUAAAUUAUAUAAAAGAACAGACCUUGUGCUAUUUAAUUGUUCGAAAACGUCGAAGCAAACCUUAGUAUAAAAACGUCCUUUGUUAUUAUUAAGCCACCGGUGUCCUUAGCUCCCUUUUUUACUAGGACAUACACCAACCCGAACCGGGUCAUUAAUAGUGGUGCACUGGUAGAGCCGAGAGCCCUUUGUUAUUGUUGAGAGUCGCCGCCGUCUUUAACUUUCUUUUUUUUUUGGCAUACCCUAACCCGAUCCGAGUAAACAUACUUGUAUGAAGUAGAGCCCACUAUUUGGUAUUCGGAACGCUAGUAUUCCAUUGAAAUACUUCCAGGACGCGCUUUUAGAUUGUGGUAACAUUCAACGUGACAGUCCUUCUGUGUCCCUGAAACGAAUCAGUAGGGGAGCUCGCACGUAGGCUGUAACAGAUUUAACUAAGUUGCCGCAACCCCGCUUUUGGAUGUAUACGCGGGCAAAAGAGGUUCUAGUGGCGUAUUGACCUUCUAUAUAACGCCGGAUAAGUCCGGGGAGGUCGAGGUUUCCUCAGGUACCUGUAAGGUUUGGUUUCUAUUAAUUUAGUGCAGCCGUGUUGUGGGAGAUAACUAGAAGGUAAAACUCGGUUAUUUUAAGUGGGAAACAGCUUUUUCUUGUGGGAGAUAAAAGUGUAACAGCGCAACUUAUUAGCACACACACACACACACACACACACACACACAAACAGCUGACAGGGGACAUACAAACAGUACAUAUAACUUAAAACACGAGCCAGAGGAUUUUAUGUACGGCCCUCUUGACCCAAUCCAACAGCGUGCGAGCACGUUGUAUUGGAUCCACUAUAUCAAAAUACACAACGUGCCAAAAAACAAAACGUUCACCGACCAUCAAUACAUGGGAAACGUAACUCCAAGUACAUGUUACUAGUCAACCAGAACAUUCUUUCUUGUCUACUUUUACGGUAGUGUCAAAGGUAAAGC
Molecule: ribosomal RNA, 3630 nt
Filed under: Triticum aestivum (bread wheat)
Lineage: Eukaryota; Viridiplantae; Streptophyta; Magnoliopsida; Poales; Poaceae
Description: partial small subunit ribosomal RNA
Source: RNAcentral